Molecule: ribosomal RNA, 692 nt
Filed under: uncultured bacterium
Lineage: Bacteria
Description: bacterial SSU rRNA
Rfam family: Bacterial small subunit ribosomal RNA
Source: RNAcentral
AUUCGCCCUUAGAGUUUGAUCCUGGCUCAGGAUGAACGCUGGCGGCGUGCUUAACACAUGCAAGUCGAACGAGAAUCAGUGGAACAAGGAUUCGUCUGAGGGAAGCUGAGGAAAGUGGCGGACGGGUGAGUAACGCGUGAGCAAUCUGCCUUGGAGUGGGGAAUAACGGCUGGAAACAGCCGCUAAUACCGCAUGAUGCAUCUGAGUCGCAUGGUUUGGAUGCCAAAGAUUUAUCGCUCUGAGAUGAGCUCGCGUCUGAUUAGCUAGUUGGCGGGGUAAUGGCCCACCAAGGCGACGAUCAGUAGCCGGACUGAGAGGUUGGCCGGCCACAUUGGGACUGAGACACGGCCCAGACUCCUACGGGAGGCAGCAGUGGGGAAUAUUGGGCAAUGGGCGCAAGCCUGACCCAGCAACGCCGCGUGAAGGAAGAAGGCUUUCGGGUUGUAAACUUCUUUUAUUCGGGACGAAGAAAGUGACGGUACCGAAUGAAUAAGCCACGGCUAACUACGUGCCAGCAGCCGCGGUAAUACGUAGGUGGCAAGCGUUAUCCGGAUUUAUUGGGUGUAAAGGGCGUGUAGGCGGGAAUGCAAGUCAGAUGUGAAAACUCAGGGCUCAACCCUGAGCCUGCAUUUGAAACUGUAUUUCUUGAGUGCUGGAGAGGCAAUCGGAAUUCCGUGUGUAGCGGGGAAAUG